GUACACUCCUACGGGAGGCAGCAGUGGGGAAUAUUGGACAAUGGGCGCAAGCCUGAUCCAGCCAUGCCGCGUGAGUGAUGAAGGCCCUAGGGUUGUAAAGCUCUUUCACCGGUGAAGAUAAUGACGGUAACCGGAGAAGAAGCCCCGGCUAACUUCGUGCCAGCAGCCGCGGUAAUACGAAGGGGGCUAGCGUUGUUCGGAUUUACUGGGCGUAAAGCGCACGUAGGCGGACUAUUAAGUCAGGGGUGAAAUCCCGGGGCUCAACCCCGGAACUGCCUUUGAUACUGGUAGUCUUGAGUUCGAGAGAGGUGAGUGGAAUUCCGAGUGUAGAGGUGAAAUUCGUAGAUAUUCGGAGGAACACCAGUGGCGAAGGCGGCUCACUGGCUCGAUACUGACGCUGAGGUGCGAAAGCGUGGGGAGCAAACAGGAUUAGAAACCCUUGUAGUCC
RNAcentral lists this ribosomal RNA (448 nucleotides) under uncultured organism. RNAcentral describes it as "partial 16S ribosomal RNA". It matches the Rfam family "Bacterial small subunit ribosomal RNA", at positions 331 to 796 of the family's 1533-position model. The record is from RNAcentral.